GGCAUUGUUAGGAUCAUCUUUUCUCUGCCUCUGUAUUGGAUAUGUGCUAUUACUGUGCCACUGAAAGUCAACGGGACUCCUAUCACAUCAGCCACAGUGUCUGCUGCUUUUGUAAUGCUGGCCAUCGGUAGUGGGAGAAACACAAAUGUUGUAAGUAAAUGCAGCACAUGAAAGUGGAAAAGAGAGAGAGAGUAAGGCUUUAAAGACAAAUGUGUUAGCAAUUAUUUUCACUAAAAUGUUGUUGUUCAUAUGUUUAAAGCUGGCACGGAUACGAUGUGUUGAAUUUUUUUUGUUUUUUUGUAAUGAAUUGCUGUGAGAAAAACAAUUGCAGGCAAAUGCCCUGAAAGAAUUAGCACACACGCAAAAGACACCUUAGGAUUUGGAUUGAUUUGAUUCAAGACAUUAGAGUUUUGCAACAACAUAAUGUAGAGGACGAAUGACAGAAUGUUAUAACCAAUCCUGUCUCUUGUGUGAAUCCCCUGCCAUCUGUGUCGCGCAGCCACAUGACUGGCAGAUGUGUUGCUGUCAUUAAUCCUCAGAUUACCACCCAUUGAGAAACAGAAUUUUCCCACAGCAGCCCACAGGCAAAGCUGAGAGGGACCGAGAUGUGUUAUCUCCGGCAGGACUGCCUAAGAUUGGUGAGAUUUAAAAGGGUUCUAGCCCAUUACUGUGAUGCUCCUUAACGGUAGCAUCUGAUGUUGCAUCAUUCUCUGGAGUUGCCUGUUUGUUGCAUAAUUUUAAAAACAAAAUAGAGAUGAAAAAAUUUGAACCACAGAUGUUGCUCCGCAACCCACCAAGGAAUGAUGUAACACAGAAUGAAGUUAAUGUUGCUUGUGUGACAUGGAGUAGCUGGUGCCAGUAUAGCAGGGCUCAAGAGAACAGGAUGAGAGUAUGGGGACGAUACAUACAAUACAACCACAGCUUCCAAACGGCUCAAAUGCACCGUGGAACCGUUUCAAACGGAUCUGUUUGGAGCACUUGUAUACAAUGCAAGGGGAAUACUGAAUAAUACUACACUGAAUUAAUAGGCAGAGGUUUGUAUACCUGCAGGAGGACAACCCCAACAAAAUGUCUGUGACUAAUAAUGCAUGUAAAUCACAAGAAGAGCCCAUUUUCAGUAUUGCCUAUUGUUGUACCCAUGAAAAAUUCCAUAACAAAAUAUUAUGUGUGUAUUCCUGCUAUUGACUUUUCUUCCCUUUUUUCCUUGAGUAUAAUUUUAGUUGCAGUUAUGUGUCUGAUCACCUGCAUAAGCAGAAAAUAUGUUUAUUUAUCACUUUGUCAACCUUGCAGAAAAAAUACUCUCCCAAAGACGAGUGAUUCCUUCUAGUUUUCCUUGAUUGGAUUUUAAUCAAUAAGUCAAUAAGUUCUUGAAUUGUUUUCCCUCGGCAUUGUCAUGAAAAGUUAAGUGUCUCCUUGCCUCAUUAGAAUACUUUUUCUUGUCAAAUCAAGAAUGGAAGCAAUGCCUUUUGUUGUUCCAUUCUAGCUGUGCGACAAUAUAUCACAAUAAUGUGCUUGUCUUUCUUCUUCUCUGUCCAUCUCUGCUCAUUCCUUUCACUGCAGGAGUUGAUCUGCGGUCCCGGCUGUGGAAAUAGAAAGCUGCAGAGUUUGCGAGAUCAGUG
RNAcentral lists this long non-coding RNA (1619 nucleotides) under Xyrichtys novacula (pearly razorfish). The record is from RNAcentral. Lineage: Eukaryota; Metazoa; Chordata; Actinopteri; Labriformes; Labridae.